UACGUAGGGAGCGAGCGUUGUCCGGAAUUACUGGGUGUAAAGGGAGCGUAGACGGUAAUGUAAGUCUGGAGUGAAAGGCGGGGGCCCAACCCCCGGACUGCUCUGGAAACUAUGUUACUAGAGUGCAGGAGAGGUAAGCGGAAUUCCUAGUGUAGCGGUGAAAUGCGUAGAUAUUAGGAGGAACACCAGUGGCGAAGGCGGCUUACUGGACUGUAACUGACGUUGAGGCUCGAAAGCGUGGGUAGCAAACAGG
This 253-nucleotide ribosomal RNA is filed under the name uncultured bacterium. Its description in RNAcentral is "partial 16S ribosomal RNA". It matches the Rfam family "Bacterial small subunit ribosomal RNA", at positions 524 to 776 of the family's 1533-position model. The record is from RNAcentral.